GAUCGCCUACGGGGGGCAGCAGUGGGGGAUAUUGCACAAUGGGGGAAACCCUGAUGCAGCGAUGCCGCGUGAGUGAAGACGGCCUUCGGGUUGUAAAGCUCUGUCGCAGAGGACGAAAAUGACGGUACUCUGCAAGAAAGCUCCGGCUAACUACGUGCCAGCAGCCGCGGUAAUACGUAGGGAGCAAGCGUUGUCCGGAAUUACUGGGUGUAAAGGGAGCGUAGGCGGGGGGAUAAGUUGAAUGUGAAAUCUAUGGGCUCAACCCAGAG
RNAcentral lists this ribosomal RNA (269 nucleotides) under uncultured bacterium. RNAcentral describes it as "partial 16S ribosomal RNA". It matches the Rfam family "Bacterial small subunit ribosomal RNA", at positions 333 to 619 of the family's 1533-position model. The record is from RNAcentral.